RNAcentral lists this ribosomal RNA (252 nucleotides) under uncultured bacterium. RNAcentral's name for it is "partial 16S ribosomal RNA". It matches the Rfam family "Bacterial small subunit ribosomal RNA", at positions 524 to 776 of the family's 1533-position model. The record is from RNAcentral.
UACGGGGGGGCAAGCGUUGUUCGGAAUUACUGGGCGUAAAGGGCUCGUAGGCGGCCAACUAAGUCGGAUGUGAAAUCCCCAGGCUUAACCUGGGAACUGCAUCCGAUACUGGAUGGCUUGAAUCCGGGAGAGGGAUGCAGAAUUCCAGGUGUGGCGGUGAAAUGCGUAGAUAUCUGGAGGAAUACCGGUGGCGAAGGCGGCAUCCUGGACCGGCAUUGACGCUGAUGAGCGAAAGCCAGGGGAGCAAACAGG